RNAcentral lists this transfer RNA (72 nucleotides) under Ovis aries (sheep). It matches the Rfam family "tRNA". From Rfam's summary of the family: Transfer RNA (tRNA) molecules are approximately 80 nucleotides in length. The record is from Rfam by way of RNAcentral. Lineage: Eukaryota; Metazoa; Chordata; Mammalia; Artiodactyla; Bovidae.
UCCCUGGUAGCUUAGAUGGUAAAGCAUCCACCUGCAAUGUGGGAGACUUGGGUUCAAGCCCUGAGUCGGGAA